RNAcentral lists this long non-coding RNA (355 nucleotides) under Setaria italica (foxtail millet). RNAcentral's name for it is "long non-coding RNA (SITA_LNC003110)". The record is from RNAcentral. Lineage: Eukaryota; Viridiplantae; Streptophyta; Magnoliopsida; Poales; Poaceae.
GAAGGAGUCGGGGCGGCGCGCGCGGGGGGAAAGAGGUCGGGGAAGGAGACCGAGGAAACGAUUUCCUCUUUUUUGGGUCGGAAUGUGCGGGGGGAAAGAUUUAGAUAGAUUGGAAUCCUGAGGAAUCCCUCUUUCCAAUUCCGGGAGCAGCCAAACAAGAUGGCUUUGGAAAUUAAUUCCAAUUCCAGCCAAUUCCAAUGAAACAAACAGGCCCUUAUGUUAUUUUAGUUGUAAGAUUCCUGUUAUGUAAUGAAACAUCUCUAGUGAUUUUUCACAUAUUUUAGGAGAUUUUGAAUAUGUUACAUUUCACAUAUUUACGGAGAGAAAUGGAUCGAAUACGGAGGGAUAUAUACGG